GGCGUGGCCCGACCGGCCGGAAAGGCCUGAGCCCGGCGGCAGCGGGGCGGGCGCCGGCCGAGGUUCUUUCCCCCAUCCCCUUGGUGGAGGGGAAGGGGCAGCCGAAAGCGGAGCCCUGCACUCACCUCCCAGCCACGGGAGGACCCCUCCGCCCGAAAGGUCUGAGCCAGGGAUGUUACCGGCAACGCUGCGGCACGGGGGAGCAUCCAGCACCCGGGCUGCGAAGGGGACACGUCCGAGCGCCUGUCCGGAGCUUACAAGGAAAGAAAGAGAGCAAGAAAGAAAGAAAGAAGAGGAAGCAUUUUUGAAAUGCGAUCUUCCUGCUGCCGCUGCCCUCAGAGUGGGCGCAGAGUUUCUUUCCCUGGGCGCUGAGGUGGGCGUGCAGCAGCCCCAGGCUGUGCAGCACAGGGCUCGGCACCGCGGGAUGAGCCCAGCCCGCGCUCCAGCCCGGGCCAUCUCCGGGCUCUGGAGAGGGCCCACGACAUCACCAGGAAGGUUCUCCAGAGCGCAGGCAGCUGAACGAGGUCGAUCCUGUGGGUGACGGAGGGGUCCCUUUGCGCAAGGACCGCGCUGCUGUGCUGGCCAGGCCCUAUCCCACGCUCUCCUGUGCAGAGGUUUGGCUGUCUCCAGCACGGAUUUCCCCCUGGUCACGUUCGCCCACAAGACUCGGACAAGGCAGCUGGGCAAGAGCCGAGAUCGGCAGUCCUGCUGGACAGCCCGUGGCUCCUCGGGGCUGCAGCCGGGCUCCAUGUGCUGCUGGGGCUGGGCUGCACCCUGUGCCCCCUGCACAGGGCUCUCCUCGGCACCAGCAUUUUGGUUCUCAGUCACAUCCACAGCCAGGUCUGGGUUUGCUGCUGAGGGCCGAGCAGCCCCCGGUCCUCCCCCACCGCCUCCCGUCCUUCCCAGCACAGCGGCCGUACACAGCUGCCUUCGUCCCGCUGGGGCAGCCUUGCCCCAUUUCCAACCAAACUGUCAGCUUUACAAUCCACUCCCUGGGUGUUGUGAAACACCGUUAGGAGGGGAGGGUUCUGGCGGCCAGGCAGGGCAAAGGUCUCUGUGCUCCGGUGCUGCACGACCUGUGCUGCUCAGGGCACCCCGAGGGGCAGCUUUCACCCCAGCGCCCUGCCGGGCUGGUGGGCAGCAGCCUCCCGCAGGACCCUCGCUGGCCUCCACGGCUGGCAUGGGCAGGAGGGAGCUGCGGGGUGAGAUCAGACCCAAUUUCCUUCUGAUUACGUUUGAAACCUCUUAAAAGACAUCACCCUCAUAGACUAGUGAGGCUUGGCCUGCCCGCACUCACCCUCAGUGUGCCCAUGCAGUCAGAGCUGUCUAUUUUUGUAGUUCAAUAUUUAUAUACUCUAUUAAAAUGCUUUAUGAGAUUCACAGCAGCAGUCACCAAGCCAGCUUUUUGGUAAAAACGAACCCCAAAGCAUAUGAGCUGUGCUAGCAGGGCAGAAAUUAGCUGUUCCUGUACCUUUUCUUUGGCUGUUAUGUGACUAGUCAGGCUUUCGAGGGCAAGACCCCUCUCCCUGAGGGUUGGGACUCCCCAGCUGCUUUUGUGGUCCCUAACACAUCCCUGGGUUUGGGAAAGAGCCCAGCAAAGCCACACUGGGCAGGGUCCCCCUCACAGGGCUCAGGCAGGAGCCUGGCUUGAAGCUGGGCCAAGGUGUACACCUCCUGGGGCAAGAAAGCUCUAGUGGGAAAUUUUUGCAGCCCCUGAGGUAUCUGGAGCUGCUGCCUCAGGAGCUCAGAGCCCCCACGAGCCCCCAGCUGUCCUCCCAGACUGUCACAGCCGUGGGAGGCUGCAGGGAGCCCUGGCAGGGGCUGCGGCUGCAGAGCUCCACGUGCCCAGGUCACUUGUGCAGGUUUGGCAGGUGCAGGGCAGCACGAGGAGCUCUGGUAAUGCCCCUCUGGGCUCUGAGCACCAGGAGCAUGAGGGGGAAAAGCCCUGAGCUCCUCGGCAGGGCUGCAGAGUGCUCCCUGCCUGUUUGCCUCUGCACAGUGAUCCAGGCAGGCUCUGCCAGGCUCCAGCUCCGGGGUGAGCUGGGUGUGCGGGGCCCUGCUGUCACCCACGCACGGGACAGCGAGGGGAGGUUUGUCUUGUGUUGCAUGAGCAGCCUCAGGGCUCCAGCAUCACAGUUCUGGGAGUGUCGUGCCCAUGAGGUGCUCUUGGCCUCUGGAAAUCACUGUUUCCGUCAGGUUCUGAGAGAUUCUGCUGUGGACUUGUGUCUCCUCUGUCAGGGUGAAAGAGGUGAUGCCGGUCCCUGUGUGCUUGGCUGUUGCUGCAGCUGUGGUGUGCACAGCUGUUUCCCAUCCUUCCUAGACAAUCCUGAUAGACACAGUAUGUCGCAUUUUUAUUACAAACUCCUUCGUGAGAUCAUGGCGUUUAUGACUGACCCAAGCAUUGAAAAGCGGACGGAGAAGUAUGAUCCUUCUCCUGUGUAAAUACCUUCCUAGCAAUCAUCAUCCGUAGUGCCUAGUAUGUAAAUGAAGCAACCCUGUCUGAGCUGCAGGGCCCUUUCCUCUCCGCCGGUAAUCAGCAGCUUGCUCAAGGAGUUGAUGUCAUUCCCAGUCCCCCGUGCCUGUCCCUCCCCGGGUGCUCCUGGUGCAGGCAGGGAGCUGGGCAGGUCCGGAGCCCCGCGGCCGGGCAGGCAGAGCCGCCUGCAGUGAGGGGGGGCUCCCAAAGGGAUGGAGGGCCAGCACCCCAGUUCCCCCCUUCAUGCCAAUGUAAUGUGCUUGGAAAUGACUUGUCAGGGUGAGCCCUGCGCUUUUCCUUUGGCACAUUUGCCUUGGAGCAGGAAGGAUCAGCUCCUGCGUGCUGUACCUGCUUCAGUCACUGCUGCUUAUCUUGAGGGGGAGGGAAGCUCUAGCGAUAUUAUAUAUACACUUAUAUAUAUAUAUAUAUACACACAUACAUGCACUUGUUUUGAAGGGAAAACACUGUAUGAUUGUAAUAGAAAUAGUGUUGAGAUAAAUUAUUUUAAUCUUUGUAUUUAUAUAAAAUGAUCAAAGAGAUCAAAAUUAUAUUAAAAAAAAAUCAAAAAGACAGUAUUCCUAUUUUUUACUGAGAAGGCUGCUGGAGCCACCGGGAGCCUGAGAGCCACUGGGGCCCAGGCAGGGCCCGUCCUCCCCUCCUGGAGUGGGGGGCUCUCACAGACCCCCCAUGACACUGUAAGCUAGCCCUUAGCCCGUAAGAUGUGACAGGGAUCUGUAGGUGCAUUUAGUCCGUGCUCUGCACUCCUCGGGAGUCCAAAGGGCACACACCGCUUCGACCUGCGCUGUUGCACCCGAAAGCACAGACUGAGGAGUGCAGGCACCAACACCAACGUGCUCAGGAUGGAACGGGCAGUGUUUGAUGUUGACUUGUAAAGCUUAAUGAUUAGACUGGAAAUGGAAGCAUAGCAAUAACGCUCGGUUGUUAAACAACGUCUUGUGUGUGUAAAUCACCACGUGCUGAGAGCUGUCUACAGACACAGCCGGGCUUCUCUCCUCUGCACCCGCUUUCGCUCUGUAGCUCUGCAGAGGCUUAUGGAUUUGAUGUGCUUGGUUUGCUAAUAUCUCUUUUCCUUAUAAUUACUAUGUUGUUAUUAUUAUUAUUAUUAUUUUUCCCAAUGCUGUCCGAGAAAGUGAUGUCUCAAAUGCACCUUGCAGCAGGUGUGAGGUGAGCAGUGGAUGGGGGAAGAUGCACCCGCUGCACUCGCCAUGGCAGAGCCAGUCCUGGCAACAGGGUGCACACUCCCCUGGACUUCCUUUAACCCUGGGCAGAUUAGUCAGGAAGUUCUCCUUCUUGACCCUGCUAACUAAAAAGCCAUAUUUUGUGAAUGUGUCUGCUGGGGCUAAUCUAAGCGCUCCCAGCCGUGUCUUUCCCAUCCCCACCAGGCUCCCAGCCUUCCCGCUGCUGCAUGGCUCCGUGCUCAGUCUGAACUGGGGCCAGGCCCUGCUGGAUUCACAGGGGGAAGCUUUCUGUGAAUCACAGGCAAAGCCAGGUUCAUGGCCCAGCUGAUGGGUGCUCUGGAGGGACUGAGGGUGCUCUUUCCUAGGUGCCCAAGAGAGGUGGCAGUGACACAGCAAGAAACAUCCUGCCUGAAGUGGCUGGAGCCAGCAGUGUGAAGGGAUUGUUCUGCUCUUCCCAAGUUCUCCCCAAGUGCUCCACACUAGGAAGAACGCAGUCCCUCACGUCGCAGCAGCCCCGAUGAGCCAGUCUGGCUGUAGUGACGCCGCAGCCGCCUCGGUGCACGCCUGUUCUUGUCACCCUCUCGCACUGUCGGCGCCUGGCUGCCAAGUCCUACAGGGAACGCAACAGAUGGGAGAGAGCUCCCUUACGCCUCUGGGUUGCCUCAUGCAGGCAUCUGAGAUCUGUGGAUAAGAUCAGCAGUGCCCGAGUGCCCAGUGCCGGGCUGGGUGGGCAGGAGGAGCUCAGAUCGAUAAGCACAGCGGCUGUGGAGGAGGCUCCAGGCCUGUUAAAGCACAAGGAUCAAAGCACCGUGUCCCCUCAUCGUCAGGGCUGCCCUUUGCUCCCCAGGGCCCCGUUUCUGCCGCUGUGUCCUCCUUGGGGACACAGUGCCCUGCAGGGACGCUGCUGUCCCAGCCCCCUGAAGGGAUGGUGCCUCUGGACAGGACACGAAGGGUGACACUCGGUACUGCCACCACAUCCGAUCCCUUCAUCUCACCCUCCCUCUCCUCACAGCUUUGGGCAGGAACAGGGGAGCAAAGCUGCUGGUGUGUGAGAGGUGCACCCAACCCACACCCAAACGGUGCCCGGUCCUCCCUGACCAGGGUGUGGUUAUGCCUCCUGGCUCUUUCCGAUAGAUUUCAGUCAUCCUGCAGUUUCCAAGAAAGCUCCCCUUUCCUGUUGUUGCAAUUAUUGCAUAAAUUAGACUAUCAGGCCCUAGGAAUGCCCCAAAUCUUUGCAUGUCUGAAGCAGCAGACCCUUUCUGCCCAGGGGCUGUGGGUACAGCACUGAGCUGCAGCCCCCUCGGCCCUGCAGGGACGAGCACUGUCUGUGUGUUUCCAGGUCACUGUCACCCCAGUGGGGUGGGGACAUCACCUCUGCCUGGCCAGAGGCGUGCUGGGACCCCUGAGAGGGCUCUGGCAGAGGGAUGAGGAGGGCAGCACUUCUGGUCUCAGCUCCCCUGGUCCCGGAGCAGCUGUGGUUUCGUUGGAGAAAAAAUAUUGUCCUUGGCUGAGUUUGCGAAGCUCAGUGAGAACAAUAAACGCCUGUGCCUCGUGCUGGGGAGCGCCGCUGCAGAGGGACAGAUGCCAAAGGUUUGACACUGCUCUGCUUUAUUUGAAUGUUCAUUUUGCUACAUGUCACCAUUUUUUGCCAGGAUGAUAUUCAUGUUGACUUUGCUUUUUAACCAAGUGCUUUUCAAGAUGUGUUAACACUCAGAGACUAGAGUAUGGAGCUGUACUUUAGAAGUUGUUGUAAUAUUCCUUUUUCUUAAUAAAGAGACUGAAACCUGCAGAGGGUGGUACUGUCCUGCCCCAGAAUGCAAGACCUCCAGCCAUACACCAGAAGCAUCUCUGUCCCAUGACUGGCUCCUACCUCACUCCCCCAGAGCUCUUCCACAGCUCAGGAGAGUCCUCAGCGUGACACCCCAGUUCUUACAGGGGGCCUGUGGGUAGAUGGGGGGAUCGUUAUUGGGAUCCGGAAUGCCAGGACAAGGGGGAAUGGCUUCCUGCUGCCAGAGGGCAGGGUUGGAUGGGAUACUGGGAAAAUUUCUUCCCUGGAAGGGCAGGGAGGGCCUGGCACAGCCUGCCCAGAGAAGCUGUGGCCACUCCAUUCUCAGAAGUGUUCAAGACCAGAUUGGACAGUGGCACAGAGAAACAGGAAACAAAUUCUCCAAUCCGUUGGUUCAGUUAGAAAGUUUCCAUUAUUCAGCGCUGGGUACAUGGGGGUACAUUGUUCCACCCAACAUGAAUGGCAAUUAUCAAAACUUUUAACAUUUCAUGCAUUUUAGCAAACAAAGGAAUUAGUGUUCCUUGGCUACAAGUUACAUAGUUCUCUUAUUAAUUAGUAUUCUCUCUUGGUUAAUGAUUCUCCACUUCCCAUGCUGAUUAGCCUUUCUCUUCCUUUCGGGCGGUCGAUUUCUAGCAUCAGUGGUCUGUGGGUUGAUGGCCACAGGCCCUCCCCUGCCAGAAUUACCUUUUACCUAUUUGGAGCUGAUUUCAGCACAAUCACUGAGUUAAGUCUUAUUAGUUAUUCCUUAUCUUGGGAGUCCAGCUGAAUAUCCUUGUGGCCCAUAAAUUCUGCACUCUUUGUGUCCAUUAUUAGUGACAACAUCCUUCCUUCCAAGCUAUGUUAACCUCCUCCCCCAGGUCUUAGAUCGCUGAAUCAUGUCAAGCCCUAAAUUUUGUUUUUCUAACACAUGGACGUCACUUACAGCUUGCUUGUUAGCUACUAUCUGUUUUGUGAAUUAAAUAUCCCUUCUUGUUAAUUAGGCUUGAAAGUUGCAAAGAUAAAACAUUAAAGAACACACUUUCAUAAGAAA
Molecule: long non-coding RNA, 6488 nt
Organism: Hirundo rustica (Barn swallow)
Lineage: Eukaryota; Metazoa; Chordata; Aves; Passeriformes; Hirundinidae
Exons: 2
Source: RefSeq, a predicted model, not a curated record